GGAGUAAGUUCUCUUCCUUAACAAAAUAGUUAACUAUGCCUUGCCUCCUUGAAAGCAGUGGUUUUAAUCCUUACUUGUAGUGAAUUGUUCUGUGCAAUUUCUGGCAUUUGCUAGAAACCUAUCAGUAGGAUCCAGCAUCUACAGCAAGGCAACAUACUGUUCAGAUGCUCAAAAAGGACAAAGGGUUUUGCACUAUCCCAGGAUCCUUGUAGUUCCUUUAAACUGAAAGAACUCUGCAUGGAAGCAACAGCUUGCUGAUAUGAGCAAGAGAUUCACCUUUGACUCCUGAUUUCAUUUUCUGCUCUUUUUUUCAGGCAAAAAGGCAAUAUUUUGGUGCUAAGGUAUAAUCAAAUUGUUGCUCUGUUAGAACUUCAGCAUGAGACACAACUCUGAGAAGACCUGGAAAACCUUUGUAAAUGAAAUGAAACACAGAGGAGAAAAUUCAACUUCAGGUUUCUGCUCUCCUUUAACAUUUAACAAGAUGCAAAUUCCUCCUGGAAUCUGACUAUGUUGACAUUUUUGCUUCCACAAAUUUCCAAAAGAAAGAUUCACAGAAGAAGAAGGGGAAAAAAAUGUAAAUUCUACUCCAUUUACAACAAUCUGUAGGUACAUGUAUU
This 617-nucleotide long non-coding RNA is filed under the name Anas platyrhynchos platyrhynchos (common mallard). Its description in RNAcentral is "lncRNA (ENSAPLG00000025265.1)". The record is from RNAcentral. Lineage: Eukaryota; Metazoa; Chordata; Aves; Anseriformes; Anatidae.